This 494-nucleotide ribosomal RNA is filed under the name uncultured Desulfobulbus sp. RNAcentral describes it as "bacterial SSU rRNA". It matches the Rfam family "Bacterial small subunit ribosomal RNA", at positions 893 to 1382 of the family's 1533-position model. Lineage: Bacteria; Pseudomonadati; Thermodesulfobacteriota; Desulfobulbia; Desulfobulbales; Desulfobulbaceae. The record is from RNAcentral.
UCAGAAACUCAAAGGAAUUGACGGGGCCCGCACAAGCGGUGGAGUAUGUGGUUAAUUUCGAUGCAACGCGAAGAACCUUACCUGGUCUUGACAUCCCGGAGACCCUUAGGAAACUAGGGGGUGCUUCCAUCUGGAAGAAUCUGGAGACAGGUGCUGCAUGGCUGUCGUCAGCUCGUGUCGUGAGAUGUUGGGUUAAGUCCCGCAACGAGCGCAACCCUUGCCUUUAGUUGCCAGCAGUUCGGCUGGGCACUCUAAAGGGACUGCCGGUGUUAAACCGGAGGAAGGUGGGGAUGACGUCAAGUCCUCAUGGCCUUUAUGACCAGGGCUACACACGUACUACAAUGGCCGAUACAAAGGGCAGCGACACUGCGAGGUGAAGCCAAUCCCGUAAAAUCGGUCUCAGUCCGGAUUGGAGUCUGCAACUCGACUCCAUGAAGUUGGAAUCGCUAGUAAUCGUGGAUCAGCAUGCCACGGUGAAUACGUUCCCGGGCCUU